UAGACUCUGAAGUGUUCGCCAGUGGAUGUUAUUCCCUGAGCCGAUAAUGCACUAAAUGGAUGUGCUAUCUAUUGUCUUAUUGUGUAUGCCUGCACUGCUUGCAGUGACUCAGGAAACCUUAAGAGGCAAUGACGCAUCCGCCCUGAACUUCACGGUUCAUGGGUCCCCAUCUUACAGCGGCACUUCGGUCCUCA
Non-coding RNA from Psychrobacter sp. PRwf-1, 194 nucleotides. NCBI's taxonomy places the organism in Bacteria, Pseudomonadati, Pseudomonadota, Gammaproteobacteria, Moraxellales, Moraxellaceae. The record is from Rfam.